UAUGAAUAAAAGGUUGAAUUGAGUUUAGAUCUUUAUAAAUGUGUUGCUUAUAUUACACGUUCCAUUCAUCCAUGUAUCAAAAUUAAUCACUUCCAUCAAAUUCCAUUACUAUAACUUCAAUCCGCAUGAACCUGAUAAAUUACCCAGAAAAAGGGCCCUAUCAUUUCUGCUAGAACAUUUGAAGCUUCACACCAAUGAAUGAAUGCAUCAUUUAUGUAAACUGGUAAAAUCUAUACACCAUGGAGGAAGAGGGAGGGGGGGAAGGGGUAAAGAGCAGCAAUUUGAAAGCCCUGCACCCACGAAGAUAAUGAAGAAUACCGGCUCUAUCCUCGAGCCACUGGUUCAGUCUUACAGACUGGGCAAAUAUUUUUCUGUGCAAGCCAUUGCUUUAUACAUUGUAUAUGAAAGCCAUGUCCACAAUCCAGCUUCCCCAGCUCAUCAUCUGCUUCAUAAUCCUCCUGACAAAUGCUGCACUUUUUGUCCAGAAUCAUGGGCAAAUGUGAUGAAAGGUCGUUCAUAAUUGAGAGCUUCAUUUUCCUGACACAGCGGCUGAUCUCGUCUUCUUUCAGUCCAGUACUCACAUAACCAAUUCUCUCACCUAACUCCAGCAGUUGCUCAUAUGACAUGUGAUCAAUGUCAAGCCUCCAGUCGCUAAACCGAUCCUGUCUUCCUCCCAUCAUGAAACUAUUUUGGAGCAUCAUUAUCUGCAAUUUGGCAAAACUCAGAGGGCAUUUAAAUUGUCUUAAAUACCAAGUGACUUCAACAGUAACUCAAUCAAGCAUAUUGUCGCUACAUUUAAAUGGAAACACAUUCUCCCACAAUAUUCAAUAAAUACAAUUCAUUAAAUCUAAACCCCAAAGUUCAUCAUCGCCAUAUUGUUACGCCUUUACAGAUUCCAAAAAUUUCGCAAUGGCUUCUCAAUGUCUUUCUACAAUUAGUUCCAAACACUACAAUUUUCAUAAACAGGCAAUAACUCCACUAUCUGAACAACAUUACCAAGUUACUCAAAGAAGAAACAAAUAAAAGAAACUUCUGGUAGAAAGAUUCUAAAGAUCAAUUUAAGAAACAUUUGAUUGAAGCUUCUAAAGAGUAAUUUCCAUGCCAGUGGAAAAUGCCCCACAUACUCGUUAUAACUUUCAUUCACAAAAACUUUUUAAAAAUAAUAGAAAAAAAAGUUAGAGACAUUUUAAUUUCUUUGGCAAACUUUGGAAUGCAUGAACUGAAAACAUUCCAUUUGCCAUCUAUCCUAACUCCACAAGUCAUGGAUACAACUCUGUUUGCAGCAUUGAUCAAAGGAUUUUAAGCCCAUCUCUUUUUUUUCUUUUAAAUCUUAAGGAUAUCCUUCUGUCCCUUAAAACAUCAUCUUUUACCCCUACAGAAUUAUAUGUUACAACAUUUGACCAAGCAAGAUAAAUGAAAGAUGCAGUUUACAAGCUUUGAACACAUUAAACCUUAAUAGUUUCUCCUUCUAAGCAAAAAUAAUAUCAAAUAUCAGGGGUAUUGAGUAUUGACUUCCAUUCCACAACUUGGUUGUCAGCUUGCCCUCAAACUAUGUUAUGAUAAUAAGGAGAAUAGGAGCUGUGAGAAUGUAUAUGAAUGUAUAGGAAAAUAUAUUAUAUAAAUAGGAAUAGUAUUGUAACUGUUUCAUUUAGUCAAGAAUUCAACAAUACAACAUAUCCUUCUCUCUCCAUUUCUCUUUUCUUUCUCUACUUCUCUCUCUCCCCCUCUUCCUUUCUUUCUCGAUAUCCCCUCUCUGUUAAGCUUCUUCCUUUGUUCUUCUUCCCUUUCUUUCAUCGUCUUUUGCAGGUGUUACAAAACAAAUUGGUAUCAAACCUCUAUUUGAGGAUGGGCUUUGCUUCCAAUAGAAAUUAUUGAAGCCGCAAACAAUUUCAUAUCAAAGGCUACCAUCCCAAAUAUCAAGUUUCUUCUUCUUCUUCUUUACUUCUUAAAACACUCUCUCACUAAAGUCUCUCUUUCCUUCAUUCUUCUUUAGUUUCCUUCUUCUUCCCUUCCUCUUUCUUAUUCUUCCUUCUUCUUUCUCGUUCUUCUUUCUUGA
RNAcentral lists this unclassified non-coding RNA (2056 nucleotides) under Hevea brasiliensis (rubber tree). The record is from RNAcentral. Lineage: Eukaryota; Viridiplantae; Streptophyta; Magnoliopsida; Malpighiales; Euphorbiaceae.